Long non-coding RNA from Rhopalosiphum padi (bird cherry-oat aphid), 281 nucleotides. RefSeq lists it as uncharacterized. The transcript has 7 exons. NCBI's taxonomy places the organism in Eukaryota, Metazoa, Arthropoda, Insecta, Hemiptera, Aphididae. The record is from RefSeq and is a predicted model, not a curated record.
AUGAAAAAAAAAUGAACGUUUUUGAAUAUCAUAGAACAGUAUACAAUGUGAGAGCCGUGCGAGUUCCAUCGUCAAGUGUCAACUCAUUUGAAAUGUAUCAAAAUGAUUUUUAUGAUUAUUGACUAUCGUUUGGAUUCGCACGUAUUUUGUUGGUGAAAAUACUUAUAAAGAUUCGGAGAAGACAUCUGAAGAAUAUAAUUUAAAAGUUCUUGAGAAUAAAUUCAACUCUUUUUUGGAUUGCUUCAUUCCAGAACGUUUAAAUGAAAUAAAAGACAUUUUGU